UACGUAGGGUGCGAGCGUUAAUCGGAAUUACUGGGCGUAAAGCGUGCGCAGGCGGUUAUUUAAGUCAGGUGUGAAAGCCCUGGGCUUAACCCUGGACCUGCAUCGGGUACGGGCAGACUAGAGUGUGGUAGGGGAGAUCGGAAUUCCUGGUGUAGCGGUGAAAUGCGCAGAUAUCAGGAGGAACACCGGUGGCGAAGGCGGAUCUCUGGGCCAUAACUGACGCUGAGGAGCGAAAGCAUGGGGAGCGAACAGG
RNAcentral lists this ribosomal RNA (253 nucleotides) under uncultured bacterium. RNAcentral describes it as "partial 16S ribosomal RNA". It matches the Rfam family "Bacterial small subunit ribosomal RNA", at positions 524 to 776 of the family's 1533-position model. The record is from RNAcentral.